AACGCGUGGGAAUCUACCUAUCUCUACGGAACAACAGUUGGAAACGACUGCUAAUACCGUAUACGUCCUUAGGGAGAAAGAUUUAUCGGGGAUAGAUGAGCCCGCGUUAGAUUAGCUAGUUGGUGAGGUAAUGGCUCACCAAGGCGACGAUCUAUAGCUGGUCUGAGAGGAUGAUCAGCCACACUGGGACUGAGACACGGCCCAGACUCCUACGGGAGGCAGCAGUGGGGAAUAUUGGACAAUGGGGGCAACCCUGAUCCAGCCAUGCCGCGUGAGUGAUGAAGGCCCUAGGGUUGUAAAGCUCUUUCAACGGUGAAGAUAAUGACGGUAACCGUAGAAGAAGCCCCGGCUAACUUCGUGCCAGCAGCCGCGGUAAUACGAAGGGGGCUAGCGUUGUUCGGAAUUACUGGGCGUAAAGCGCACGUAGGCGGACUAUUAAGUCAGGGGUGAAAUCCCGGGGCUCAACCCCGGAACUGCCUUUGAUACUGGUCGUCUUGAGUUCGAGAGAGGUGAGUGGAAUUCCGAGUGUAGAGGUGAAAUUCGUAGAUAUUCGGAGGAACACCAGUGGCGAAGGCGGCUCACUGGCUCGAUACUGACGCUGAGGUGCGAAAGUGUGGGGAGCAAACAGGAUUAGAUACCCUGGUAGUCCACACCGUAAACGAUGGAAGCUAGCUGUCGGGUUGCAUGCAAUUCGGUGGCG
Molecule: ribosomal RNA, 700 nt
Filed under: uncultured bacterium
Lineage: Bacteria
Description: bacterial SSU rRNA
Rfam family: Bacterial small subunit ribosomal RNA
Source: RNAcentral